ACAAUGGACAAUUCUACGAAAUAAUCAACAAAAGGUUUGUGUUGUUUCUGAUCUUUCUUUGGAUACAAGGAUUUCAAUACAGAGGUAUUCUGCAAGCGAAACCAUUGCCAGGUUUUGAUGCUUUGCUGACGAAUAAUCAGGAUGUCUAGCGAUCGCCGUUUAGUCAAGGGUUUGGUCAUACUAGGCGUGGUGUUCUCUGCAGGAUUUUUCUGUGGAUAUAAAUGUAAGACUUGGCGCAUGGAAUGGCUCAAAAGACGGCGAGAGAGGCUAGCCAGCAAGUUACGAGAUACCCAAAAGCAGAUCGAGGCCAUCACAUAACCCCAACCGAUGGCAUAUCGUAAUAACUUCGUCAGUCAAUAAAGGACUUCAUUCCUCAUCUUCUGUACAUAGAUUUAAUUUAUUUAUCUUCUUUCAAUCAAAUGUUGAUUUGAAUCAAUGCUUGUUGGCACUUGCUCAUGGUACUUAUUAGACCGAUGUCGCUAUAACCGGCAACAUCGAUCAGGUGAUCAUUGGUCAUGAGCACGGAUCUGUCUUCUUCUUUCCUCUGCUUCUCUUCGUUUAUAUUCAGUCGGGGUCUUGACAAUUACUUUUAGUACGUCGUGUUCUUUUCGUGUAAGAGUGACACCGAUUCGGAUUUCAUAGCAUUGAUUAUAAAUAGCGCAAUAAGUACAAGGAGUUAAGGAUAAUAGCGGGCGGGCGAGCGAGCGAACUUGCGAGACAGAGUUGGAAGGGUCGGAAUAAUUUUGGAAAGGUAGCGCCGUAAAAAAGGUGCGUAGAAAAUUGAAAAUGCAACUGGAGAGGUGUGCUGAUUAUCACAAAUCAAGUCGUUCUGUGAACAGGAUAUCGAACCAAAUGCCAGAGGAGGCGAGAAUGAAGAUCCUGUUUCAUAGGGGUUCAUAGAAGAAGGCCAAAUUGGUGGUGUGAUUUCAUAAAGGGUUGCUUGCUUGGUUGGUUGGUUAAUGGUAAGAAAUUGCGGGGGCUCUAUUGCUCAUCUUUUUCUUUAGCACCGUGUUUGAGGAUUCGGGUGAAUUCGAUGUAAUCAAACAUGCCGUUCUUGAUCGGAGCCUCGCGAUACAUUUCGUCGACUUCUUCGUCUGUGAAUCGAUCUCCAAUGGUUGUGAGGAGCUCUCGAAGUCGAUCUUCGUGUAUGAUCCCACUGUUUUCAUCA
Tigriopus californicus is the source of this 1168-nucleotide long non-coding RNA. RefSeq lists it as uncharacterized. Lineage: Eukaryota; Metazoa; Arthropoda; Copepoda; Harpacticoida; Harpacticidae. The record is from RefSeq and is a predicted model, not a curated record. The transcript has 2 exons.